GCCGGGUGUGGUGGCGCAUGCCUGUAAUCCCAGCAGCUCAGGAGACUGAGGCAAGAGGAUGGUGAGUUCAAAGCCAGCCUCAGCAAAAGCAAGGUGCUAAGCAACUCAGUGAGACCUUGUCUCUA
This 125-nucleotide small RNA is filed under the name Marmota monax (woodchuck). Lineage: Eukaryota; Metazoa; Chordata; Mammalia; Rodentia; Sciuridae. The record is from RNAcentral.